UUUUACAAACCCCACCAUCAUAUGUCUCCAACCUCCAACAUAAUUCACCAACAAAAACAAAAACAAAAACCAAACCAACUCCCCCAAAAAACAAAAGUCUACUCUUUUCAUCUUAUCCCCCACCCUCUUUCCUCCUUUUGUGUUUCUUCUAUUUCCCUUCUCUCUGUUUUUCCUUCCCAAAACUCAAAAGUGAGAAGAGAAAGAACAUAUGUGGCAAGCUCAGGCCUGCAAGUCUUCUUAUGGAGAAUCCAUCAAAGCUCUUGAAGCUGAUAUCCAACAUGCCAAUACCUUAUGGGAUUUUUGCAGGGCAGCUGCUCUUCCUGGAGAUUAUGAUGGGAACUGUAUCCAAAUGAGAUUGUCUUAUAGCCCCUUUGCACCUUUCUUCCUGUAUCUCAUUGAAUGGAUGGAUUGUUGUUGCACUGAUAUACUUCCCAAUUAUUUAGGCCUUCACCACGUCCUUGUAUACAAGGAUGGAAUGCCUUCGUUGUCCUCCAAAGAACAGGUCGCCACUUUAAGGGAAUUUUAUGCUGUAAUAUACCCUUAUCUUAGACAACUCGAAGGUGAAUUUAACGAACUGGAAGAUAAUAAUAAUAAGAGAAGCCGAUGCACAGAUGUUUUGGGCAGAAAGAGGAUGGAAGACCGGAGGAAGCAUUCGGAUAAAGAUCUAGAGAGAGAUGAUGAAUGUGGGAUAUGCAUGGAAAACUGUACAAAAAUGGUGUUGCCCAACUGUGGACAUUCCAUGUGCAUCACCUGCUUCCACGAUUGGAAUGCAAGAUCGAAAUCCUGCCCUUUUUGCCGCGGCAGCCUAAAGAGAGUUAGCUCCAGAGAUUUGUGGGUUCUCACUAGCAUCGGCGAUGUUAUUGAUGCAGUAACCCUUGCGAAGGAGAACCUAAGACGUUUCUAUCUUUAUAUUGAAAAUCUACCUGUUGUUGUGCCGGCAACACCUAUUGUGGUAUAUGAUUACAUGCUCUGACUCACAAAGGAAGAAUGAAGUUGCAAGUACACAGAUUACUCGUUACCUCAAUGUAUAUAUAGUUUAAUAUAGGGAAGUUCUAUGUAAACUGCCAUGGCGAGUUGACGAGCUGUCUCAUGGUAGCUGUAUAUAGUCAACUAAAAUACCGAAUGCCUGUUUUCAGACGAUAAGCAGGUAGCUUUGGAGAAUCUUGAGUUGCAUCUGGCAGCAUCCUGCCCGUCUCCAAUGACCAAAGCACCUGCAAGUCUCUGGCGGAAGCACCAGAUAUUCAAAGAUUAAUAUGUAUAAGAGGAUUUUUUUUUUUAAAAAGCAACGAUCCUGAGCUUGAUUGUGCUCCAAUCCAGCUCCAGAAGCCGCCACCAGCAGAUUUUCCCCGCUGAGCAUCGGUAAGUGUAGGACUGAAGAUUGCCUAUACCGUGAAGAUAGCCGAAUGCUCGAAGAGGGGAUACCCUUGUGCCAGAACAAACGCAUAUCAUACCCUCAACAGGAAGCAAACUACUAUGCCUUCAUUUUAAAUCAUGCUGUUUAACUUCACUGGAUGGCUUGAAUUACCUUGAACUGCAUCCUUAAGAGACCUGGUUGAGUAACUUCUGGCACAGCUAAACCAAGUUUGUUUUAUGUAGUUGUUGGCAUGCAAUAUUCCUAUCACAGUGAUCUGCCCAACAAAAUUAAAAAGGAAAACUCAUGGUGAAAAAAAAUCAGUAUAGUAAAAUUGUGCUAAGGCCACAAAGUUUUAAUCAUCGUAAAUACACGAGUAG
This is a non-coding RNA of Malus domestica (apple), 1731 nucleotides long. NCBI's taxonomy places the organism in Eukaryota, Viridiplantae, Streptophyta, Magnoliopsida, Rosales, Rosaceae. The record is from RefSeq and is a predicted model, not a curated record.